RNAcentral lists this ribosomal RNA (421 nucleotides) under uncultured bacterium. RNAcentral describes it as "partial 16S ribosomal RNA". It matches the Rfam family "Bacterial small subunit ribosomal RNA", at positions 360 to 773 of the family's 1533-position model. The record is from RNAcentral.
AAUUUUGGACAAUGGGGGCAACCCUGAUCCAGCCAUCCCGCGUGUGCGAUGAAGGCCUUCGGGUUGUAAAGCACUUUCGGCAGGGAAGAAAAGGCGCGGGCUAAUACCUGGCGCUGCUGACGGUACCUGAAGAACAAGCACGGGCUGACUACGCGCCAGCAGCCUCGGUAAUACGUAGGGUGCAAGCGUUAAUCGGUAUUACGGGGCGUAAAGCGUGCGCAGGCGGUUCGGCAAGAAGGAUGGGAAAUCCCAGGGCUUAACCUUGGAACUGCAUUCUUAACUGCCGGGCUAGAGUAUGUCAGAGGGGGGUAGAAUUCCGGGUGUAGCAGUGAAAUGCGUAGAGAUGCGGAGGAAUACCGAUGGCGAAGGCAGCCCCCUGGGAUAAUACUGACGCUCAUGCACGAAAGCGUGGGGAGCAAAC